GAAUGUUACUGAAACCCAAUGUUUAAAUCGCGAGUUCCGCGUGUGAUUGUUUUACGGCCAAUUUGAAUUUCGCGCGCGUUAGUUUGAGAUGCGCCCUCUUUUCCGCUCCGGAGUUGUGACGUCAGCGCUUUCGCCUUUUUUGUGUGUUUUGAGAAAUGUCCUUGCGGACCUUUCGUCUUUUUCGUGGGAGUUUCUCCCUUUCGUGCUCAUGUUUAGGCCAAGAGCAUUUAUAAACGAGAAACAAUUCAAUUUGAUGAUUCAACAACAAAGAUUUAUCAAAAGUUA
Molecule: long non-coding RNA, 285 nt
Organism: Lineus longissimus
Lineage: Eukaryota; Metazoa; Nemertea; Pilidiophora; Heteronemertea; Lineidae
Exons: 2
Source: RefSeq, a predicted model, not a curated record